GAUGAACGCUAGCUACAGGCUUAACACAUGCAAGUCGAGGGGCAGCAUGGUCUUAGCUUGCUAAGGCCGAUGGCGACCGGCGCACGGGUGAGUAACACGUAUCCAACCUGCCGUCUACUCUUGGACAGCCUUCUGAAAGGAAGAUUAAUACAAGAUGGCAUCAUGAGUCCACAUGUUCACAUGAUUAAAGGUAUUCCGGUAGACGAUGGGGAUGCGUUCCAUUAGAUAGUAGGCGGGGUAACGGCCCACCUAGUCUUCGAUGGAUAGGGGUUCUGAGAGGAAGGUCCCCCACAUUGGAACUGAGACACGGUCCAAACUCCUACGGGAGGCAGCAGUGAGGAAUAUUGGUCAAUGGGCGAGAGCCUGAACCAGCCAAGUAGCGUGAAGGAUGACUGCCCUAUGGGUUGUAAACUUCUUUUAUAAAGGAAUAAAGUCGGGUAUGCAUACCCGUUUGCAUGUACUUUAUGAAUAAGGAUCGGCUAACUCCGUGCCAGCCGCCGCAGUAA
RNAcentral lists this ribosomal RNA (506 nucleotides) under uncultured bacterium. Its description in RNAcentral is "partial 16S ribosomal RNA". It matches the Rfam family "Bacterial small subunit ribosomal RNA", at positions 28 to 523 of the family's 1533-position model. The record is from RNAcentral.